This 71-nucleotide transfer RNA is filed under the name Candidatus Azambacteria bacterium. Its description in RNAcentral is "tRNA-Trp". It matches the Rfam family "tRNA". From Rfam's summary of the family: Transfer RNA (tRNA) molecules are approximately 80 nucleotides in length. The record is from RNAcentral. Lineage: Bacteria; Candidatus Azamiibacteriota.
GGGGGCAUAGUUCAGUGGUAGAAUUUUCGUCUCCAAAACGAAAGACCUUGGUUCGAAUCCAAGUGCCCCCG